RNAcentral lists this long non-coding RNA (318 nucleotides) under Gossypium raimondii (Peruvian cotton). Its description in RNAcentral is "long non-coding RNA (GRAI_LNC009982)". Lineage: Eukaryota; Viridiplantae; Streptophyta; Magnoliopsida; Malvales; Malvaceae. The record is from RNAcentral.
GUUAAAUGGUGUGUUAUUAUGGUGGAGGUCUUGUGUUUAAAUCCCUAUGUAGGAAAGGGUAUUAUUUUUUUGCUCAUAUUUCAGGAUAGAGUUGUGUAAUAGGGGGAUUUUGAGUAGUGGAUUUGUAGUGGGAAUUAGGGGAGAAGAUUAAGGUAUUUUGGGGGUUAUCGGGAUUUUAUUUUUUUUCCAUAACCGAAUUUUGAUUCUGUUGUCCAAAAAAAAUGUCGUCUAUUCAUCUCCCUCCCCUCUUGCCAAAAUUCUUUGAGUUUUUCCAUCUUUCUCUUCUUUUUCUUCUUCUUGAUUUUUCCCUAAUCCAUU